AUGCUCAGCCUCCUUCCUGAGCUCGACACCUCGCCCGACGUCUUCUUCACCUCCUGCUCGAGUCCCCAGCAUCAGCCUCAGACAUCACCGCUGCUAGGAAUCACCAGGUCCGGCGACCCCUCGUCCAGCACGACGUCUCCAUCUUCGCCGGAGUUCCCCAUGAGCCUCCCCCUUGUUCGCAUCCACAGCCACCAGGCAUUGCCUCCUCGCACGCCCGUUCUUCUCCCAAAGUAUGCGCUGCCUCACCCGCCUAUCAAGAACACCAUGGCCGCCUCCCCAUGGAGUUCCAUCGGCCAGGAUCUGUCCGAGAACUAG
RNAcentral lists this ribosomal RNA (315 nucleotides) under Triticum aestivum (bread wheat). RNAcentral's name for it is "partial small subunit ribosomal RNA". The record is from RNAcentral. Lineage: Eukaryota; Viridiplantae; Streptophyta; Magnoliopsida; Poales; Poaceae.